This 503-nucleotide ribosomal RNA is filed under the name Veillonella parvula. Its description in RNAcentral is "bacterial SSU rRNA". It matches the Rfam family "Bacterial small subunit ribosomal RNA", at positions 28 to 500 of the family's 1533-position model. The record is from RNAcentral. Lineage: Bacteria; Bacillati; Bacillota; Negativicutes; Veillonellales; Veillonellaceae.
GACGAACGCUGGCGGCGUGCUUAACACAUGCAAGUCGAACGAAGAGCGAUGGAAGCUUGCUUCUAUCAAUCUUAGUGGCGAACGGGUGAGUAACGCGUAAUCAACCUGCCCUUCAGAGGGGGACAACAGUUGGAAACGACUGCUAAUACCGCAUACGAUCUAAACUCGGCAUCGAGGAUAGAUGAAAGGUGGCCUCUACAUGUAAGCUAUCACUGAAGGAGGGAAUUGCGUCUGAUUAGCUAGUUGGAGGGGUAACGGCCCACCAAGGCGAUGAUCAGUAGCCGGUCUGAGAGGAUGAACGGCCACAUUGGGACUGAGACACGGCCCAGACUCCUACGGGAGGCAGCAGUGGGGAAUCUUCCGCAAUGGACGAAAGUCUGACGGAGCAACGCCGCGUGAGUGAUGACGGCCUUCGGGUUGUAAAGCUCUGUUAAUCGGGACGAAAGGCCUUCUUGCGAAUAGUGAGAAGGAUUGACGGUACCGGAAUAGAAAGCCACGGCUAA